CACCCUGUCUCUUCACACGGGCGCUAUUUAGUUCUUCAAUUCAGGUCGGCGAGCUCGCGCCGGCGGUGGGAUGUCUCUGCGCGCGCCAAAGGGGAGCGCCCAGUUCGCAGCGGCGGCGGCGGCAGCUGCUGGACAAGGGAGACUUUCCCACCACCGCCCUCCUUUCCGUUUCUUCUUCUUCUUCUUCGGCCCGGCCCGACACAGCCCCUGCCCCGGCCCCCCAGCGCAUCCAAACCCCUGGGAAUUCUGCAUCUUUGGUAUGCUUCUCACGCCGCGUCCAGCUCGCGGACGCCGCCGGAGGGACUUCGCUUCAGCGGGAAACGAUGAAUUGGAAGAGGCAGACGAGUGACAAAGUUGGCUCAAGGCAGUUGGUCCAGCAUCUUCUGUGUCUGCUCACAAGGAGCCGAUGAGGCAUGUUAUCAGUCCUUCAAGAUGCAAUGCAAUGGCCUCUUCUGCCAUUACAUUCUUAGAAAAAGGCACAAAUUGCAGCAAUAUGAUGAACGCGCAGUGCAAGAGAAUCUUCAAGACAGCAUGAAGUUGAAACCAGGAAAAAUGGCAAAUAUUACAUAAGGGAAAUCUGAGGUACGUCUCUACCUGCCACUAAAGGUGAGGUUGGUGUAGACUGAUGUCAGCUGAAUGAAAAACAAAUGGGCUUGCAAAACACUUUCCAUUCUCUUUUACUUCUCUACCUAUUCCUACGUUUGCCUAUGGCCAUUCACUUUGUCAAAACCUUGGCAAUAUCUGAUACCUGGAUUUUUCAUCGGCGUUUUUGAAAACUGAACGCAGCAACCAACGACAAACCAAUCUGAUAUGUAGAACAGAAUAGACACCAUUCUUGAAAAAGGGAUGUGUAACUGAGUGAAUGGAAAUUUUGAAACCAGUUGUAGUAGUGCAGAUGUUAAUGUUGUUGGGGGUUUUUGUGCGAGAAUAUAAACAUAAGAAAAGCACUGCUGGAUCAGGCCAAUGGCCCUUUGAGUCCAGCAUCUUGUUCUCAUGGAAGCCAACCAGAUGCCCAUGGGAAGUACAAAAGUACAUGGGAAGUACAUGGGAAGUACAUGAGCUCAACAUCACCCUCCUCACCUGUGAUUCCCAGCAACUGGUAGAGUCUUACACAUUGUAAUAGAAACAAAGAAACAAAGAAAAAGGGA
Molecule: long non-coding RNA, 1148 nt
Organism: Podarcis muralis (Common wall lizard)
Lineage: Eukaryota; Metazoa; Chordata; Lepidosauria; Squamata; Lacertidae
Source: RefSeq, a predicted model, not a curated record